UAUAAUUUAGUCGCCAAGUAGUA
RNAcentral lists this non-coding RNA (23 nucleotides) under Arabidopsis thaliana (thale cress). The record is from RNAcentral. Lineage: Eukaryota; Viridiplantae; Streptophyta; Magnoliopsida; Brassicales; Brassicaceae.